GUCUCUGGCCAUACCACCCUGAACGCACCCGAUCUUGUCUGAUCUCAAGCUAAGCAGGGUCGGGCCUGGUUAGUACUUGGAUGGGAGAAAUGACCGUGUCCUGAAUGUA
RNAcentral lists this ribosomal RNA (109 nucleotides) under Cavia porcellus (domestic guinea pig). The record is from RNAcentral. Lineage: Eukaryota; Metazoa; Chordata; Mammalia; Rodentia; Caviidae.